Molecule: ribosomal RNA, 675 nt
Filed under: Diaeretus leucopterus
Lineage: Eukaryota; Metazoa; Arthropoda; Insecta; Hymenoptera; Braconidae
Description: partial 28S ribosomal RNA
Source: RNAcentral
ACCCAAAAGAUCGAAUGGGAAAAUUCAUCGUUAAUAUGUUUAAUAUUAAUAUAUUUAAUGAUAUGUUUUAUAUUAUUUUUUUUUAAAAAAUAAUUUAUUUCAUACAUAAAUAUAUUAUUUCAAUGUUUUACAUGUCAGCGUGCACUUUUUCCCUAGUAGGACAUCGCGACCUAUUAAAUGUUGAUUUACGACCAAAUUGGAUUAGCCUUUAAUGAAAAAAUUAUAAUUUAUAAUUUAUUUAUUAAAGACCAAUUUGUGUUUUUCUAAUCAAGUAUUUGAUAGUAAUCGUAUGAUAUUAAGUCGCAAAUUAAAUUUAUUUUUUUUGCGUUUUUUUUACACGUUGGCAAGCAAGGCUAUUUUUAUUGGUUACAGAUUUAUAUGCUGUCUUUUAAAAAUUAUGUCAGCUGUUAGCUACGUUGUUCUAAAACUGACUUUAAAUAUCUGUCGGCGAUGCUAUUGCUUUGGGUACUUUCAGGACCCGUCUUGAAACACGGACCAAGGAGUCUAACAUGUAUGCAAGUCAUUGGGAUUAUUUUUCAUUUAUGAAAAAUAAAAUAUAUUAAACCUAAAGGCGUAAUGAAAGUAAAAAUUAUAUAUAUUAUAUAAUUAUUGGGAAGAUAAUUUAUAUCAAGAUAUAAAUUCGCAUUACCCAGGGCAUCUUAUUUUUAUAAUUUA